Molecule: ribosomal RNA, 390 nt
Filed under: uncultured archaeon
Lineage: Archaea
Description: bacterial SSU rRNA
Rfam family: Archaeal small subunit ribosomal RNA
Source: RNAcentral
CGAGAUCAGGAGAUUAUUGGGCCUAAGCAUCCGUAGCUUGUCCUGCAAGUCCUCCGUUAAAUCCACCUGCUCAACAGAUGGGCUGCGGAGGAUACUACAGGGCUAGGAGGCGGGAGAGGCAAGCGGUACUCAGUGGGUAGGGGUAAAAUCCUCUGAUCCACUGAAGACCACCAGUGGCGAAGGCGGCUUGCCAGAACGCGCUCGACGGUGAGGGAUGAAAGCUGGGGGAGCAAACCGGAUUAGAUACCCGGGUAGUCCCAGCUGUAAACGAUGCAGACUCGGUGAUGGGUUGGCUUGUGGCCAGUGCAGUGCCGCAGGGAAGCCGUUAAGUUUGCCGCCUGGGAAGUACGUACGCAAGUAUGAAACUUAAAGGAAUUGGCGGGGGAGCAC